CUCCCUCUAGCGCCGCCCCACCCCCACGUCUUCACAAGAGCUCCAACAAGGGCAAAUAAAACCUCAUCACCAUUAUAAAUUCAAAAGCGCCAACCCAUCUCCUAAAAUCAAGUAAUCCAGCCGCUCAUAAUUUCACAAACAAUCAAGGAAAAAAUGACUCUGUUUGGCGAUGAGUUUCUCCAAAAAAAAAAAAAAAACCACGUCUUCACAAGAAAACCAUUUCAAUGGCUCCAAUUACCGAUUCCAAUCCCAGGAAAAUCAAUUCUCUCAAUCUAAGUCCCCACAAACCAUUUCACGAAAUCAAUUAACAAAUCAAUUUUCUCUCAAUCUUCUUCACGAUUUUUUUUAAUCAACUCUCUAAACCAACUGAACAUAAAAUCAAAAUCCCACAAUUGCCAUCAAUUCUCCACAAACCAAAAAUUGGGGAUCGACUCUUUGUUGACCUUAACUUCAACCGCCAUCGCCGCAAACCAUUCAGUUCAGCCGCAACAAACCAGUCCUUCAUGGGCAGCAGCUCGAUUUCUCAUUUCUGAUCGUCGAAUUCUGGAUCUCGAUUUUUGGUUGUUAACGGAGACUCUCAAUUUCUUCGUGGGCUGCAUCGUUUUCUGUUCAGGGAUGGAGGUUUAUGACGGCUGUAGCUGGAUCGUCAAUACCACAAUUACAUUCAACAGACUAAAAAUUCAAAAUAUAGAUUGGAGCUUCUUACCGAACCAUCUAAAACAAAAAUCAUAACCGAAUUCCUCAGAGCAUUUUCAAGCGUAAAUUUUGCUAAAGCGCUUGAAAAACCUAAUGAGAUAAUAAAUCCUUUCAAUUGAAUUGCGGGGCAAUUUUGCGAGAAAAAAAAAAAAGUUAUUCCAGAAACACUGUAGCAGCCUAGCAUCGUUAAUCAGGGGAACCCUCGUGCGUGGAUCCCAGGCGGAACAGUGAUUUAUACUCGGGCCAUAUGCUAAUAUCGAGCUUCUCAAAUUGGGUAACUUGACUACCAACGAGAAUAGUGUAACACCCCGCAUUUUCC
RNAcentral lists this long non-coding RNA (1015 nucleotides) under Salvia miltiorrhiza (redroot sage). RNAcentral describes it as "long non-coding RNA (SMIL_LNC008270)". The record is from RNAcentral. Lineage: Eukaryota; Viridiplantae; Streptophyta; Magnoliopsida; Lamiales; Lamiaceae.